CGACAGAGCAAAUUAAUGCAAUUUUUUCGUUAUAAUAAUAUCGCCAUCUAACGGCGAAUUUUAGAAUCGACUGACGGUUAUAAUAUCGAACACUAUAAACACGAAUCUGGCGAUGUGCCAGUUCACUUUUUAUUUCAUUGAUUCAUUACGUAUUGUUACAAUAGUAAUAUCUGUCAUUACACUUAUAUAACAUGCAUUUUUUUACAAUAAUAAAUGCCAUGACAAGAGCUGACUUAAAUUAUGAUAAGAAUAAUGUUCUCCGCUUAGUUUCGCAAUGCCAGCAUACGCCAAUGAAGCGACUUAAAAGAUUAACAUGGCUCCAUCUGUGUGUUAUUCAACGAAUACAAUAAUGAAUACUUCAUAACAAACAUAUUUUUGUUUUGGGACGGCAGGAGAGUUUUAUUUACGUUUCCGGAUAUUACAAUUGAGCGCGGAUCAAUAACCAAUAAAGUGAGCCAUACUUCAAUAACCACGACAGGAUCAAUAUUAUCGACAAAUUAAAAUUAAAAGCCUAUGAUUUGGCAUUAUAAAUAUCGGCGUGUAGAAAAAAAUUAAAUACUUACACGGUAUCAUUUUGGAUGAACAAUUCGCAUCUUUCCUUUAUCAUAUUAUUUUUCAACCACAGAACAAGAUCGCCAAGUGUCCCUGGAAUAAGCAUUUUAUAAAAGAAAAAAAAAAGAAAAAGAAAAAGAAGGAAAAAAGACAAUUUUAACAAGAGCGUAUAUUAUAAACAAGAUUAAGCUCUUACAUAUUCGAUCGCCAGAGUCGGUGGUCGUAAUGUCAGAGUCGGCGGAGCCGGCUAUCGACACCGUGGAAGUCGCGGUCGGAUUCGAGCAGCGGGAGCAGGAGCCCGAUAAACGGGAUCAACUCGCUGAGAAAAUUGAGUCCACCGACGUCGGGGCCAUCGCUGGCAUCAAUGACGACGAUAACGACGACGAUGGUGACGAUGGCGAAGGCGAAGGCGAAGGCGAAGGCGAAGG
Molecule: long non-coding RNA, 980 nt
Organism: Ceratosolen solmsi marchali
Lineage: Eukaryota; Metazoa; Arthropoda; Insecta; Hymenoptera; Agaonidae
Exons: 3
Source: RefSeq, a predicted model, not a curated record